UGCGUAGGCGGUCCGGUAAGUUGGGUGUGAAAUCCCUCGGCUUAACCGAGGAAUGGCGCUACAAAACUGUCGGACUCGAGGGAGACAGAGGUGAGUGGAACUUAGGGUGGAGCGGUGAAAUGCGUUGAUAUCCUAAGGAACACCGGUGGCGAAAGCGACUCACUGGGUUCUUUUCUGACGCUGAGGCACGAAAGCUAGGGUAGCGAACGGGAUUAGACUACCCCGGUAGUCCUAGCCGUAAACGAUGAGCACUAGAUCGAAGGGUACACCAUAGCCUUUUGGUCGUAGCGAAAGUGUUAAGUGCUCCGCCUGGGGAGUAUGGUCGCAAGGCUGAA
This 335-nucleotide ribosomal RNA is filed under the name uncultured bacterium. RNAcentral describes it as "bacterial SSU rRNA". It matches the Rfam family "Bacterial small subunit ribosomal RNA", at positions 568 to 898 of the family's 1533-position model. The record is from RNAcentral.